RNAcentral lists this non-coding RNA (24 nucleotides) under Arabidopsis thaliana (thale cress). Lineage: Eukaryota; Viridiplantae; Streptophyta; Magnoliopsida; Brassicales; Brassicaceae. The record is from RNAcentral.
ACAUCUCACCUAAUUGGAUUGACA